AUUCAGAGGUAUAGAAGGUUCAAUCCACCAGAAAUGUCUAUUAGGUUUGUAUUUAGCACCACAAAGUACAUACGGGGAUUUAAUGUUUAUCUGAUUAUACUUUUAAAAUCUAUAUUUCUUUAUACUUACAAGCUUAUAAAAAUCGUUCAAAAUAGUCCAUUUGUUUGAUCUUGUUUGAAAGUGUAGCUGUUGAAAUGGCCUAUUUACAGUGAAUCAAUGGUGCUCUAAAUGUGCUGGGAAAUGGAUAUUGUAUGGAUAGAGUAACAGCUCAAGUAAGAACACUGCCUAAUAAAUGUUUAUACACCAUCAAGUCUACAAACAUUAAAUAUCAUUCAUGAUAGAAUCUUUCUUACCCUGCAAUUUGUCUCAAUUUUUCCAUUACCUUCUUUCAUUUUCUCUUCUAGCUUUACUCACAGACAAGCCUCCCAAGCCAUUGUUCCCCAUGGAGAAUCAGCCAAGUGUUAUAGAUGUCCAGCUGGCUCAAAGUUGCCAAAUCUUCAGGAAGCUUUGCCUCAUGGAUGCAGCCCAGUCUCCAACCUGCCAUAAUGAUUCCCUUCUCCCAAUAAACUUUUGUCACUUUUGGAUUCCUGGGUUGCUUUCGUAUGUUUGUUUUGAGAGGUUGAGUGUACUUCCUUUAAUCAGAUGGUAAAAUCUGUGGUCUUUGAUAGCAGAGACCAUGUAUAAUCUUAGUUAUAGACCCAAAGUCUCGAAUACAACAUAUUAUAAAUAGUCUUGAUAGUCUAGAUGGUCUUGAUAGGUGAGGAAACAAAGUAGUAUAGAGGGUAAAUGCAUCUGAAAGAACUGGGUUUCCAAUUGAGCUCUGCCAUCUAUUAGCUGCGUGAACUUCCAGAGGGCAGUUGUCUUAGAAAACUUUGUUUCUUCAUCUGAAAAUGGGAGUCUAUUAAUAUCUAUUUCACAAGAUUGUAUUAAAAUAAUUAUUUGAGAUAACAGGUAAAGUGGUUAGCACAGAGCCUGGCACAUAGGCGUUCAACACAUGGCAGCUAAUAUUAUGGUUGGUGUUUAUUCGGGUGAAUUGCCUAAACAACUGAGCUCUUGAGUCUGCAGUCACUUGCAGGUGUAAUCUGAAACCUUGGCCUCCCUGGUCAACCCCCAAGAUCAUUAUUACCGCUGUGCUACUAUUUCCAGCAUAAGUUCAGCUUUAUUUUCCUUUCUCCUCUUUUGUUCUCUCUCUUGCCUUUCUUUGCUUCAACUCUCCCAGAUGCCUUAUUUCUCUCUCCUAUUUUCUCUUCCUUAAAGAUGACCCUGGGGGUUACGGCAGUUCUUCUGUGUGUUUAGAGCUGUUUUGCACUCCCGAAUGAAAGCAUGAUUGUAUUAUACGAAGUUGAAAUUACAUCACAGAAAUGUGUGGAAGUGUGAGUGUGUGUGCAUAUGUGUGUGUCUGUCUGGGUCUGUGUGUUGAUUUAUCAGUGAUUUGGGGAGGCUUUGUCUAAUAGCUCAAAUCCUGGGGCUUUUCAUCCUGUGAGGAGGGUCUAGAAUAGGAUGGGCAAAGGAUUGUAAUUGCUGCUCUUAUUCUUAAUGGUUUUAAUUGUAAUUAGAAGUGUU
This is a long non-coding RNA of Ursus maritimus (polar bear), 1563 nucleotides long. The record is from Ensembl. Lineage: Eukaryota; Metazoa; Chordata; Mammalia; Carnivora; Ursidae.